UGAGGUGAUUAUCGCGCGGAGGCCCCACCCGUUCCCAUCCCGAACACGGCCGUUAAGCUCCGCAGCGCCGAUGGUACUCCAA
This 82-nucleotide ribosomal RNA is filed under the name Rhodohalobacter sulfatireducens. The record is from RNAcentral. Lineage: Bacteria; Pseudomonadati; Balneolota; Balneolia; Balneolales; Balneolaceae.